AACGGUUCAGUUCUCCAUUUCCAUAGACGUAAAUCCGAAAGUCCUUCUUCUUCCCCAACUGAACUUCACCACUUUGCUUAUCCUUCACUGUCGGAUCAGCCCCUUUCCCAUCAAUACAAGAUUCCUACAGUGUACAUAAAAUCCAAUAUUCUCAAAGCAAUAAUCUGUACAGGAGCACCAUUUUGCUUUACAGCAGUUCCUACUUUACAAUUUUUUCAAAUUUUGCUUCUAGUUUUCUAGUACAACAAGAAGAAGAACGAACUGGAGUCACUACAAGAAACCCAGUCCAAGAAACCACCGGGUAACGGUCAGAUCCGAUACCGAUCACCAUCAGCAGCAGAACUAUUAGAGCAUAUGCAACAGGAAGACCCAAUUCAAAUGGAGCAUGAGAAAAUGUUGAAACGUAACAGGCAACAACAUGGGGAUUCGAUUUCUGAUAAGAUCCAUAGAUAUCGUGGAGUGAUUUUAGUGAUUUCGGUUCCUAUGUUGCUUAUUUGUUUUGUGCUUUUUGUAAUGCCCACCAAUUACUCUGACUCAAUGGGGUCAGUUAAUAGGAAGUUUUCACCCAAGUUUGGAUCUAGAAAUUAUGCAGUUAUAUUUGAUGCCGGUAGUUCUGGUAGUAGGGUUCAUGUUUUCUGUUUUGAUCAGCAUUUGGAUCUUGUUCCCAUUGGCA
RNAcentral lists this unclassified non-coding RNA (673 nucleotides) under Hevea brasiliensis (rubber tree). Lineage: Eukaryota; Viridiplantae; Streptophyta; Magnoliopsida; Malpighiales; Euphorbiaceae. The record is from RNAcentral.